This 690-nucleotide ribosomal RNA is filed under the name Triticum aestivum (bread wheat). Its description in RNAcentral is "partial small subunit ribosomal RNA". The record is from RNAcentral. Lineage: Eukaryota; Viridiplantae; Streptophyta; Magnoliopsida; Poales; Poaceae.
AUGGGUAAUCACAAGUUCAAUUUAUGUUGUUGGAACGUCAGAGGGCUAGGGCAGACUCAAAAAUGCUCAGACGUGCUCUCCGAGCUCCUGGCCUUCAACCCCCACGCUUGCUUCCUUCAAGAAACCAAACUUAGUUCCAUCAUCGCCCUUAAGCAAAAAACCUUCCUCCCAAAACACUUAGACCUCACUCACUCUCUCCCGGCUUUAGGCUCAGCAGGUGGCAUGAUCUCGGCUUUCUCCUCCUCCCAUUUCGUAGCCCUCGCCUCGGACCAGGAUACUUACACUCUCAGCUCCUCAGUUUCCUGCCUCGCUUCACCACUCCCUCUAAAAAUCACAAACGUCUACGCCCCCACCGACCAUGCCCUCAAACAAUCCUUCCUAACUGAGCUUGCAGCCGCUGCCCCCUCUCCCUCCACUCCCUGGUUGAUUUUAGGCGAUUUCAACCUUCUGCGCCAGCCCUCCGACAAAAAUAUGACCCACUUUAGGCAGGCCGAAGCUGACAUGUUUAAUGAUUUCAUCCAUCAGCAUGCGCUGAUUGAACUCCCCCUUCUUGACCGUCGCUUCACUUGGUCGAGCAAACGCGAUGAACCCACUCUCGAAAAAAUUGAUCGAGUCUUCAUUAAUGUUGAUUGGGACCUACUCUUUUCGAACACCACGAUCGCCUCCCGCACCCGCUUCAUCUCCGAUAAC